Molecule: microRNA precursor, 87 nt
Filed under: Triticum aestivum (bread wheat)
Lineage: Eukaryota; Viridiplantae; Streptophyta; Magnoliopsida; Poales; Poaceae
Description: mir-395 microRNA precursor family
Rfam family: mir-395 microRNA precursor family
About the family: mir-395 was identified in both Arabidopsis thaliana and Oryza sativa computationally and was later experimentally verified. mir-395 is thought to target mRNAs coding for ATP sulphurylases.
Source: Rfam by way of RNAcentral
GUAUUAGCGGGAGUUCUCUUCAAGCACUUUACGGAGCACCUCUCCUAAGGUAUUAUGUGGAGUGUUUGGGGGAACUCUUGUUGUGGC